Molecule: ribosomal RNA, 1102 nt
Filed under: uncultured bacterium
Lineage: Bacteria
Description: bacterial SSU rRNA
Rfam family: Bacterial small subunit ribosomal RNA
Source: RNAcentral
CUGAAGCACAACGCCGCGUGGAGGAAGAAUGGCUUUUGCUUGUAAACUCCUGUAUGAGGGGAAAAAAUCUCGCCUUUGGCGAGGAUGAUGGUACCCUCGGAGUAAGCCCCGGCUAACUACGUGCCAGCAGCCGCGGUAAUACGUAGGGGGCAAGCGUUGUCCGGAUUUAUUGGGUGUAAAGGGUGCUCAGGCGGAUUUGUAAGUCAGAGGUGAAAUCUCCCGGCUCAACCGGGAAACUGCCUUUGAUACUGCAAGCCUUGAGUUUGGAAGAAGAUGAUGGAAUAUCUGGUGUAGCAGUGAAAUGCGUAGAUAUCAGAUAGACACCAAUGGCGAAGGCAGUCAUCUGGUCCAUAACUGACGCUAAAGCACGAAAGGCGUGGGUAGCAAACAGGAUUAGAUACCCUGGUAGUCCACGCCCUAAACGAUGAAUACUAGACGUUGGGUCCGCAAGGAUUCCAGUGUCUGAGCUAACGCAUUAAGUAUUCCACCUGGGAAGUACGAUCGCAAGGUUGAAACUCAAAGGAAUUGACGGGGGCCCGCACAAGCAGUGGAGCAUGUGGUUUAAUUCGAUGCAACGCGAAGAACCUUACCUAGGCUUGAAAAGCAGGCUAAACUUGAUGAAAGUCAAGGUGCGCAAGCAAGCUUGUACAGAUGCUGCAUGGCUGUCGUCAGCUCGUGCGUGAGGUGUUGGUUAAGUCCCGCAACGAGCGCAACCUGUUCUUAGUUGCCAUCAGGUAAUGCUGGGCACUCUAAGAAGACUGCCUACGCAAGUAGUGAGGAAGGUGGGGACGACGUCAAGUCCGCAUGGCUCUUACGCCUAGGGCAACACACGUGCUACAAUGGCUACUACAAAGGGCUGCAAUACCGCGAGGUGGAGCCAAUCCCUAAAAAGUAGUCUCAGUUCGGAUUGGAGUCUGCAACUCGACUCUAUGAAGCUGGAAUUGCUAGUAAUCGCGUAUCAGAAACGACGCGGUGAAUACGUUCCCGGGCCUUGUACACACCGCCCGUCAAGACCAUGGAAGCUGGGGGUACCCGAAGUCACCUUUAAUAAGUGCCUAAGGUAAAACCAGUGACUGGGGCUAAGUCGUAACAAGGUAGCCGU